GAAAUACCAUGAAUUUCGAUCCCCCAUUCCAAACGUUAGUUGGCUUUGAUUACUACACAGUUCUUCAUGCUAACGGCGAGUUUUUGCAUAUUUAUUUUUGGUAGAACGGCAAAAAGCACGCUGUCUGAGCAUAAAAUGUUUUACGCACAAUUUUGGAUAAUCGGCAAAAGCAGAAAUUUUUCGGUGCGUCACACUUAAAAUUUGUCAAAUUGAUUCUACUCUCUCAAAUUCUACUAACUAAACAAACACGACUUUCUUUCCUUCAGAGCUUUGAAGACGAAUUUUUAAUUGUGAUUAACGUACUAAUUGCAAAUUACUUACAAACAUUUUCAACCGAAUAGUAGAUAAAACGUUUAUAAACUAUCACGUUUGAAUGGCUUUGAAUAAUUGCCUUCCGUUCUUCCCAAAGUACAUUUUGGAAAGACAACGUUGGUUUUUUCAAAGCUUUGAGGUCGCAGUUAUAAAUAUUUGCAUACCAUACAGAGAGUAAAAAAUAAUUUUGAAUAAAAAUUUGAAUAAAAAUUCUUAUUGCUAA
This is a long non-coding RNA of Dendroctonus ponderosae (mountain pine beetle), 535 nucleotides long. RefSeq lists it as uncharacterized. The record is from RefSeq and is a predicted model, not a curated record. The transcript has 2 exons. NCBI's taxonomy places the organism in Eukaryota, Metazoa, Arthropoda, Insecta, Coleoptera, Curculionidae.